GUAAUAUAUAGAUAACGUGCCUCUUAGUCUGGGAUAGCCAUUGGAAACGAUGAUUAAUACCGGAUACUCCUUCUAACUCUAAUGUUAGUCGGGAAAGUUUUUCGCUAAGAGAUCGGUCUAUAUCCCAUCAGUUAGUUGGUAAGGUAACGGCUUACCAAGGCAAUGACGGGUAGCGGGUUUGAGAGGAUGAUCCGCCACACUGGUACUGAGACACGGACCAGACUCCUACGGGAGGCAGCAGUGAGGAAUAUUGCACAAUGGGGGAAACCCUGAUGCAGCAACGCCGCGUGGAGGAUGACGCAUUUCGGUGUGUAAACUCCUUUUAUGAGUCAAGAAAAUGACGGUAGCUCAUGAAUAAGCACCGGCUAACUCCGUGCCAGCAGCCGCGGUAAUACGGAGGGUGCAAGCGUUACUCGGAAUCACUGGGCGUAAAGGACGCGUAGGCGGGAUGCCAAGUCUGAUGUGAAAUCCUAUGGCUUAACCAUAGAACUGCAUUGGAAACUGGUAACCUAGAGUAUGGGAGGGGGAGAUGGAAUUAGUGGUGUAGGGGUAAAAUCCGUAGAUAUCACUAGGAAUACCGAAAGCGAAGGCGAUCUCCUGGAACAUAACUGACGCUAAGGCGUGAAAGCGUGGGGAGCAAACGGGAUUAGAUACCCCGGUAGUCCACGCCCUAAACGAUGAACACUAGUCGUCGCUCUGCUUGUCAGGGCGGUGAUGCACUUAACAGAUUAAGUGUUCCGCCUGGGGAGUACGGUCGCAAGAUUAAAACUCAAAGGAAUAGACGGGGACCCGCACAAGUGGUGGAGCAUGUGGUUUAAUUCGAAGAUACGCGAAGAACCUUACCUAGCCUUGACAUUGAUAGAAUACCCUAGAGAUAGAGUAGUGCCUUUCGGGGAACUUGAAAACAGGUGCUGCACGGCUGUCGUCAGCUCGUGUCGUGAGAUGUUGGGUUAAGUCCCGCAACGAGCGC
Molecule: ribosomal RNA, 970 nt
Filed under: uncultured bacterium
Lineage: Bacteria
Description: bacterial SSU rRNA
Rfam family: Bacterial small subunit ribosomal RNA
Source: RNAcentral